UGUUGAUGAUGACAAAUCCAAAGGCUUGUUUCUCAAAACAUUCGCAGUGGCAACCUAAGAACUUUCGCCUUCGCCGGGCUUGAGAGCUAAUGCCGCUCUUAUCCUUCCUUGGAUGUCUGAGACA
Small nucleolar RNA from Rhododendron vialii, 124 nucleotides. RefSeq annotates it as small nucleolar RNA SNORD14. The record is from RefSeq and is a predicted model, not a curated record. The transcript has a single exon. NCBI's taxonomy places the organism in Eukaryota, Viridiplantae, Streptophyta, Magnoliopsida, Ericales, Ericaceae.